AAAACUGAUAGAAGAAAAGAGUUAAAAUACUAUCCAACUGCAUAAGGAGACAGCACAAUUCUUAGCCAAAUUCCGCCUUGCCAACCGUGCCCGGUGUCCUUGUCCUCACCGACUGACAAAUACCAAGAGGUUGAGACUAACACGAGAUGCGAACAUGCUUCCACAGGAUGCAUGUUCAGGAGAUUGGAAUGGAGAAGUGAAACACAUCUUUGCUCUAAUUUUCUCAGGACCAUUUAAUAAUCAUCAUAUUUAGACACUCAUGUAUUAUGGAUAUUGAAUUGUAAUUUGACAUAAUUUUUUAGAUAUUGAAUGAAUUAAAGAGUGUGAUUUUCUGUAUUAAUGUAUGAGAUGUUUAAAAGAUUUGUAUGUUAAUAAAAUUUGAGAUUGUAGUU
Molecule: long non-coding RNA, 392 nt
Organism: Ananas comosus (pineapple)
Lineage: Eukaryota; Viridiplantae; Streptophyta; Magnoliopsida; Poales; Bromeliaceae
Exons: 2
Source: RefSeq, a predicted model, not a curated record